This 465-nucleotide ribosomal RNA is filed under the name uncultured bacterium. RNAcentral describes it as "partial 16S ribosomal RNA". It matches the Rfam family "Bacterial small subunit ribosomal RNA", at positions 30 to 506 of the family's 1533-position model. The record is from RNAcentral.
CGAACGCUGGCGGCGUGCUUCACACAUGCAAGUCGAACGGAAAGGCCCUGCUUUUGUGGGGUGCUCGAGUGGCGAACGGGUGAGUAACACGUGAGUAACCUGCCCUUGACUUUGGGAUAACUUCAGGAAACUGGGGCUAAUACCGGAUAGGAGCUCCUGCUGCAUGGUGGGGGUUGGAAAGUUUCGGCGGUUGGGGAUGGACUCGCGGCUUAUCAGCUUGUUGGUGGGGUAGUGGCUUACCAAGGCUUUGACGGGUAGCCGGCCUGAGAGGGUGACCGGCCACAUUGGGACUGAGAUACGGCCCAGACUCCUACGGGAGGCAGCAGUGGGGAAUAUUGCACAAUGGGCGGAAGCCUGAUGCAGCAACGCCGCGUGCGGGAUGACGGCCUUCGGGUUGUAAACCGCUUUCGCCUGUGACGAAGCGUGAGUGACGGUAAUGGGUAAAGAAACACCGGCUAACUACGU